This 315-nucleotide ribosomal RNA is filed under the name Triticum aestivum (bread wheat). RNAcentral's name for it is "partial small subunit ribosomal RNA". Lineage: Eukaryota; Viridiplantae; Streptophyta; Magnoliopsida; Poales; Poaceae. The record is from RNAcentral.
AUGGCCGGCCCAGCGGGGCAACGAUGUACGAUGUACGCGAAGGUGGUGGUUCAUCGAUGUGCGUACGUAUCCUUACAAGAUCAACGGGAUAGGAUGCUGUGGAUUGUUCUCUCCAGCUGUUCGAUUUGCACAUGCGACAAUCGAAGUGUGCCUAUGUUUGGCCGGCCCUGGCUGCCCGGUUCACAGAUAUACAGGUCGAAUUCUUCGUUCUUUAUUAUAGAUCGGUUCAUGUGCUUUGACUCGUGUCUGGGUCGGCGCAUCUAUUAUUUUCGGUCGCAAAUGUGCGCUAGCUCAUGCCUCUCUUGGGUGAUAUAA